RNAcentral lists this unclassified non-coding RNA (307 nucleotides) under plant metagenome. RNAcentral's name for it is "partial contains 5.8S ribosomal RNA, internal transcribed spacer 2, and large subunit ribosomal RNA". The stretch from base 1 to 105 matches the Rfam family "5.8S ribosomal RNA", at positions 50 to 154 of the family's 154-position model. The record is from RNAcentral.
GAAAUGCGAUAAGUAGUGUGAAUUGCAGAAUUCAGUGAAUCAUCGAAUCUUUGAACGCACAUUGCGCCCUUUGGUAUUCCAAAUGGCAUGCCUGUUCGAGCGUCAUUUGUACCCUCAAGCUUUGCUUGGUGUUGGGCGUCUUGUCUCUAGCUUUGCUGGAGACUCGCCUUAAAGUAAUUGGCAGCCGGCCUACUGGUUUCGGAGCGCAGCACAAGUCGCACUCUCUAUCAGCAAAGGUCUAGCAUCCAUUAAGCCUUUUUUCAACUUUUGACCUCGGAUCAGGUAGGGAUACCCGCUGAACUUAAGC